GAUGAACGCUGGCGGCGUGCUUAACACAUGCAAGUCGAACGGGACUUGUUAAGUUGAAACUUCGGUCGAUUCUUUUCAAGUCUAGUGGCGGACGGGUGAGUAACGCGUGGGUAACCUGCCUCACACUGGGGGAUAACAGUCGGAAAUGACUGCUAAUACCGCAUAAGCACACAGCAUCGCAUGAUGCAGUGUGAAAAACUCCGGUGGUGUGAGAUGGACCCGCGUUGGAUUAGCUAGUUGGCAGGGCAGCGGCCUACCAAGGCAACGAUCCAUAGCCGGCCUGAGAGGGUGAACGGCCACAUUGGGACUGAGACACGGCCCAG
RNAcentral lists this ribosomal RNA (323 nucleotides) under uncultured bacterium. Its description in RNAcentral is "bacterial SSU rRNA". It matches the Rfam family "Bacterial small subunit ribosomal RNA", at positions 28 to 334 of the family's 1533-position model. The record is from RNAcentral.